UAUUCCAGCUUGACAUAUCAGCAUGUACGCAUGUAUCCAAACCAUUUUAUUUCUUUCAACAGCCACAGCCACAAAGUAGAUAGUAGAUACAUUCAACAGACUAAAUUAACAUAGAAAUGAAGCAACAAAGGGCAGCCCGAGUAGAGGAACUACAUGGUACUACAACUACAUGGGACUACAACUACCAUUUCUAUUUCUACCAGCAGCAGUAGGGACUACCAAGGAGCUAAACGAACAGCGACCGAGCUAAACUAACAGCGAUCAUCCAUCAUCAAUCAGUGACAGUAGCAAUGAGUGGCAGCGGCGACGUUCGAGAGAGCCCCUCCCCCUGCUGCUGCUUGGUUGCCUGCUACUGCUUGGUGUGUUGCAUCACUAGUCACCCUGCACAGCAAGAAUUUUAGCUUUACAUAAGGUUUACAAGAACAAUACCCUGAUACAUGAGAUUGACAUUCACAAGCUAUUUUUCUACAAGAUAUAUUUUUCUACAAGAUAUGCAUAUGUUGAUGACCAUACAUACAAAUAAAGUAAAUUCAGUAACAGAUUGCUAUCCACAAUAACUACAGAUUUUGACCAUACAGAUUUUGUAGAUAAACACAUACUAGAAGCUACAACAGAACAUGGGUGUAGAGGUUACCACUCAUGAAUUAAUUAAUUUGCUAGCUGAUUGGUGGUAGAGGAGGAGGUUUAGCCACUUCAGGGGCCUAGAAGGCAGGUUUUGUUGUACCUUGAGAGACAGGAAAGAAGUGGACAGAGCAGCCACCUGCUGCUCCAGCCUGGUGUUCCUCUCAAGCACAGCC
This 797-nucleotide long non-coding RNA is filed under the name Triticum aestivum (bread wheat). Its description in RNAcentral is "long non-coding RNA (TAES_LNC018791)". Lineage: Eukaryota; Viridiplantae; Streptophyta; Magnoliopsida; Poales; Poaceae. The record is from RNAcentral.